Molecule: long non-coding RNA, 605 nt
Organism: Peromyscus leucopus (white-footed mouse)
Lineage: Eukaryota; Metazoa; Chordata; Mammalia; Rodentia; Cricetidae
Exons: 3
Source: RefSeq, a predicted model, not a curated record
AAGUGGCUCCACCGUGGCCUCUGCCUUCUGCACCUCUUGUUGGCUGUGGUACAGUGAGCUGUGCAGGCAGCUUCUUUCUUCUUGAAGGCAUGGGUGCGAGUGGUGGCACCAUUCGACAUCUGGACACCCCAUGGGUUCCUGCUGACUCUGGGGUGACGGCAGGGCACAAGGCUAUCGUCUGAGUCCCGUGGGGGUCAGAAACACGAUAGAAGCCGGGGUCUCGGGAGACUUGUGAAGUCCACGAAGAUCACAGGAAGGGCGGAGAGCGAAGUCGCAGAUCUGACUGUGGUGACCUCCGGAGGCCUGGGAGGGGCUGGAGGGUGGCUGCUCCUUCUGAAGAUGAAGGGAAGCCACAGACUCAUGUAGGAGUCAGAGUAAACAGCAUUAUCUCGGAGGCUCUUCCUUGAUGACUUAUUCAGAGACAACAAUCCUGAUGAUCCCUGAUAGAGGCACCUGCUAAUUGGCAUCCCUGCAUUUCCGGUAACCAGUCCUGACUCCCAGUGUUUGGUGGUUGAUUAUCUGUUAUUUUGUUCUUCCCCAGGAGUGUAAAAAGUCAGGAAGUGCUCAAAAACAUUUCUCAAAUAAAAUGAUCCGGUCAAAUUUCC